RNAcentral lists this ribosomal RNA (481 nucleotides) under uncultured bacterium. RNAcentral's name for it is "partial 16S ribosomal RNA". It matches the Rfam family "Bacterial small subunit ribosomal RNA", at positions 29 to 507 of the family's 1533-position model. The record is from RNAcentral.
AUUGAACGCUGGCGGCAUGCUUUACACAUGCAAGUCGAACGGUAACAGGCCGCAAGGUGCUGACGAGUGGCGAACGGGUGAGUAAUGCAUCGGAACGUGCCCAGUCGUGGGGGAUAACUACUCGAAAGAGUAGCUAAUACCGCAUACGAUCUAUGGAUGAAAGCGGGGGACCGUAAGGCCUCGCGCGAUUGGAGCGGCCGAUGUCAGAUUAGGUAGUUGGUGGGGUAAAGGCUCACCAAGCCAACGAUCUGUAGCUGGUCUGAGAGGACGACCAGCCACACGGGACCUGGGACCCGGCCCAGACCCUUAGGGAAGGCAGAGGUGGGAAAUUUUGGCCAAGGGGGGCAAGCUUGACCAAGAAAGGCGGCGUGAAGAAAGAAGGCCUCCGGGUUGUAAACUGUUUUUGUAGGGAACGAAAGGGUUCUGGUAAUACCCGGGGCUAAUGACGGUACCGUAAGAAUAAGCACCGGCUAACUACGUG